GACCCGUGAUCCGGGUUGCGGACAGUGUCUGGUGGGUAGUUUGACUGGGGCGGUCUCCUCCUAAAGAGUAACGGAGGAGCACGAAGGUUGGCUAAUCCUGGUCGGACAUCAGGAGGUUAGUGCAAUGGCAUAAGCCAGCUUGACUGCGAGCGUGACGGCGCGAGCAGGUGCGAAAGCAGGUCAUAGUGAUCCGGUGGUUCUGAAUGGAAGGGCCAUCGCUCAACGGAUAAAAGGUACUCCGGGGAUAACAGGCUGAUACCGCCCAAGAGUUCAUAUCGACGGCGGUGUUUGGCACCUCGAUGUCGGCUCAUCACAUCCUGGGGCUGAAGUAGGUCCCAAGGGUAUGGCUGUUCGCCAUUUAAAGUGGUACGCGAGCUGGGUUUAGAACGUCGUGAGACAGUUCGGUCCCUAUCUGCCGUGGGCGCUGGAGAACUGAGGGGGGCUGCUCCUAGUACGAGAGGACCGGAGUGGACGCAUCACUGGUGUUCGGGUUGUCAUGCCAA
This 503-nucleotide ribosomal RNA is filed under the name Salmonella enterica. RNAcentral's name for it is "partial 23S ribosomal RNA". It matches the Rfam family "Bacterial large subunit ribosomal RNA", at positions 2230 to 2732 of the family's 2925-position model. Lineage: Bacteria; Pseudomonadati; Pseudomonadota; Gammaproteobacteria; Enterobacterales; Enterobacteriaceae. The record is from RNAcentral.